AGAGUUUGAUCAUGGCUCAGGAUGAACGCUGGCGGCGUGCCUAACACAUGCAAGUCGAACGGGUGUGGUAUCAGGGAAAAGGGGUUUACUUCUUUGACCAGAUAACACACUAGUGGCGGACGGGUGAGUAACGCGUGGAUAACCUGCCUUAUACAGGGGGAUAACAGGGAGAAAUUCUUGCUAAUACCCCAUAGGUAUGUCUGACGCAUGUUGGACAUAUUAAAGCUUUGGCGGUAUAAGAUGGGUCCGCGUCUGAUUAGCUAGUUGGUGGGGUAAAGGCCCACCAAGGCGACGAUCAGUAGCCGGCUUGAGAGAGUGGACGGCCACAUUGGGACUGAGACGCGGCCCAAACUCCUACGGGAGGCAGCAGUGGGGAAUAUUGCACAAUGGGGGAAACCCUGAUGCAGCGACGCCGCGUGAAGGAAGGAGGUCUUCGGAUCGUAAACUUCUAUCAGCAGGGAAGAAGGAAGUGACAGUACCUGAGUAAGAAGCCCCGGCUAACUACGUGCCAGCAGCCGCGGUAAUACGUAGGGGGCGAGCGUUAUCCGGAAUUACUGGGUGUAAAGGGUGCGUAGGCGGUAUGGCAAGUCAGUUGUGAAACCCCCUGGCUCAACCAGGGGCUUGCAAUUGAAACUGUCAUACUAGAGUGCAGGAGAGGAAAGCGGAAUUCCUAGUGUAGCGGUGAAAUGCGUAGAUAUUAGGAAGAACACCAGUGGCGAAGGCGGCUUUCUGGACUGUAACAGACGCUGAGGCACGAAAGCGUGGGGAGCGAACAGGAUUAGAUACCCUGGUAGUCCACGCCGUAAACGAUGAGUGCUAGGUGUUGGGGUCUAAUUAGAUCUCGGUGCUGAAGUUAACGCAUUAAGCACUCCACCUGGGGAGUACGAUCGCAAGAUUGAAACUCAAAUGAAUUGACGG
Molecule: ribosomal RNA, 918 nt
Filed under: uncultured bacterium
Lineage: Bacteria
Description: bacterial SSU rRNA
Rfam family: Bacterial small subunit ribosomal RNA
Source: RNAcentral